UAAGUUACAAGAUUUUUUUAACAGCCAC
Molecule: non-coding RNA, 28 nt
Filed under: Bombyx mori (domestic silkworm)
Lineage: Eukaryota; Metazoa; Arthropoda; Insecta; Lepidoptera; Bombycidae
Source: RNAcentral